UGCCAAAGGGGAUUUGCCCGG
Molecule: microRNA, 21 nt
Filed under: Sorghum bicolor (sorghum)
Lineage: Eukaryota; Viridiplantae; Streptophyta; Magnoliopsida; Poales; Poaceae
Also listed under: 1 other name
Description: sbi-miR399k
Gene: sbi-miR399k
Source: miRBase by way of RNAcentral